Molecule: ribosomal RNA, 193 nt
Filed under: uncultured eukaryote
Lineage: Eukaryota
Description: partial 18S ribosomal RNA
Rfam family: Eukaryotic small subunit ribosomal RNA
Source: RNAcentral
GAACCUGGUUGAUCCUGCCAGUUAGUCAUAUGCUUGUCUCAAAGAUUAAGCCAUGCAUGUCUAAGUAUAAACAUCUUUAUACAGUGAAACUGCGUACAGCUCAUUAUAUCAGUUAUUAUUUAUUUGAUGGUACCUUACUACAUGGAUACCCGUAGUAAUUCUAGAGCUAAUACAUGCGUCAAGUCCCGACUUU